This 212-nucleotide long non-coding RNA is filed under the name Bos taurus (domestic cattle). Its description in RNAcentral is "long non-coding RNA NONBTAT017778". Lineage: Eukaryota; Metazoa; Chordata; Mammalia; Artiodactyla; Bovidae. The record is from RNAcentral.
CCCUCAAUUUCUCUGAAACAGCCUCCCAGCUAGUCUCCAUUAUUCAGGUCUCUCCUGGUUCUGUUCCAUCAUUCGCCCUGUAAAGGCAAAUAACCUUUCUAAAAUAUAAACCUAAUUAUUUUGCUUUUCCAAGGAGAAUUGUCCACUUGCUCCCAGUAGCCUGUAAGUAAACUCAAGCUAUUUAGCAUAGGAAAUCAUCCUGUCCUGGAUCU